CCUCGGCUGUCUUUGGGAGGCAACUGGAACACCCGAAGAAACCCUUGCAGUCACGGGGCGAAUGCACAAAUUCCUUGUUGACAGCAGCGAGAAUUGAACCGGGGUGGCUGGUCCUUUCACCACAUCAGUACAAAGAGGGAGGGGGAAGAGGAUACAGAUUAAAGAGUUACAAUCACCGAGGAAGGGCAGUGCAGGCAGAUGAAGCUCAAGAGGACCACAACCUUCUGGUUAUGCUUGGAGGCUUGCUUGCCUCAAUGAUCCGGAAAGCUAUGUUAGCUGGAGUCAGAGCUUCAAUUGCAAACAAGAGAAAACCUGCAGAUGCUGGAACUCCAAGCAACACGCACAAAAUGCUGGAGGAACUCAGCAGGCUGGGCAGCAUCUAUAGAGAGAAUACAGAUGAUGCUUCAGGCUGAGACCCUUCAGCGGGACUGCAGAAAAAAAGAUGAGGAGUGGAGUUAAAAGGUGGGGGGGGGGGGAGGGGAGGGUGAAACUCAAGGUGAUAGGUGAAACCGGGAAGGAGAGGGGUGAAAGAAGAGUUGGCAAGUUGAUUGUUGCCAAGAGAUACAGGGCUGGAGAAGGGGGAAUCUAAUAGGAGAGGACAGAAGGGCCUGGGGGAAAGAAAAAGGGGGAGGAGCACCAGAGCUGGGCAGGCAAGGAGAUAAGGUGAGAGAGGGAAAGAGAGAUGAGGAAUGAUGAAGUUUGGGGGGGGGGGCAAUUAUCGGAAGUUUGAGAAAUUGAUGGUCAUGUCAUCAGGGUGGAGGCUAUCCAAACAGAAUAUAAGGUGGUGCUCCUCCAACCUGAGAGUGGCCUCAUCGCAACAGUAGAGGAAGUCAUGGAUAGACAUAUGGGAAUGGGAAGUGGAAUUAAGAUGGGUGAUAACUGGGAGGUCCCACUCUUUCUGGCAGAUGUAGCAUAGGUGCUUGGUGAAUGUUCUUCCAAUCUUUGUUGGGUCUCACCAAUAUACAGGAUGCCACACCGGGAUCACCAGACACAGUAUAUGACCCCAACAGACUCUCAGGUGAAGUGUUGCCUCACUUAGAAAGACUGUUUAGGGCUCUGAAUGAUAGUGAGGGAGGAGAUGUAAGGGCAUGUUCAACACUUGUUCCACUUGCAAGGAUAAGCACCAGGAGGGGAAUCAGUGGAAGGGAUGAAGGACAAGGGAGUUACAUGCAAAAUGCAGAAAGUGGGAGGGAGGGAAAGAUGUGCUUGGUGGUGGGAUCCAUCUCCAACAAGAUUCAUUUUCAAAGACUCUACAAUCUGGUCUCAGUAUUAGUUAUUUACUUAUUUAUUCUUUUUGUCUUUGCAUAGUUUGUCUUCUUUUACAUAUUGGUUGUUUGUCAGUCUUUGUAGUUUUCAUUGAUUCUAUUGUAUUUCUUUGUUCUACUGCGAAUAUCUGUAAGAAAAUGAAUCUCAGGGUAGUAUAUGGUGACAUAUACAGUACUUUGAUAAUAAAUUUGCUUUGAACUUUGAA
Long non-coding RNA from Hypanus sabinus (Atlantic stingray), 1471 nucleotides. RefSeq lists it as uncharacterized. Lineage: Eukaryota; Metazoa; Chordata; Chondrichthyes; Myliobatiformes; Dasyatidae. The record is from RefSeq and is a predicted model, not a curated record. The transcript is spliced from 3 exons.